UAAGACAGAGGUGCCAAGCGUUAGGCGGAAUCACUGGGCUUAAAGCGUGUGUAGGCGGAACGUUAAGUGCCUUGUGAAAUCCCACGGCUCAACCGUGGAACUGCUGGGCAUACUGGCGUUCUUGAGCCAGCCAGGGGUCGUCGGAACAAACGGUGGAGCGGUGAAAUGCGUAGAUAUCGUUUGGAACGCCAAAGGCGAAAGCAGACGACUGGGGCUGAGCUGACGCUGAGACACGAAAGCCAGGGGAGCAAACGGGAUUAGAUACCCCGGUAGUCCUGGCCCUAAACGAUGUCCACUGGAUCGUGGUUCCUCUGAAGGAUUCACGGUCGGAGCAAAAGUGUUAAGUGGACCGCCUGGGAAGUACGGUCGCAAGGCUA
RNAcentral lists this ribosomal RNA (377 nucleotides) under uncultured bacterium. Its description in RNAcentral is "bacterial SSU rRNA". It matches the Rfam family "Bacterial small subunit ribosomal RNA", at positions 521 to 896 of the family's 1533-position model. The record is from RNAcentral.